GUUUACCUUUGGAUCAAGUACCACAAGAGGGCAACAGCAAGUAGCUUUUGCAGAAUCAACAAGAGGGCAGCAACAAGUUGCUUUUGCAGAGUCGACCAGAGGGCCACAACAAACAGCUUUUGCAGAGUCGACAAGAGGGCCACAGCAAGUAGCUUUUGUAGAGUCGACCAGAGGGCAACAGCAAGUAGCUUCUGUAGACUCGACAAGAGGGCAACAUCGAGUAGCGUCUAUGGAGUCGAGAAGAGAGCAACAAGAAGUAGUUUCUGUACAUCAGCAAGGUAAUAAGCAGGCACCACAAAGAAACGAGGGCUUGUUGGGGAACAAUCAAAAUUUCUCUGCUAGUACUAGUAGAAAUG
RNAcentral lists this unclassified non-coding RNA (356 nucleotides) under Hevea brasiliensis (rubber tree). The record is from RNAcentral. Lineage: Eukaryota; Viridiplantae; Streptophyta; Magnoliopsida; Malpighiales; Euphorbiaceae.